GCAGUCGAGCGAGUCUGUCUUGAGAUCGGAGUGCUUGCACUCUGUGAAACAAGAUACAGGCUAGCGGCGGACGGGUGAGUAACGCGUGGGUAACCUGCCCAAGAGAUCGGGAUAACACCUGGAAACAGAUGCUAAUACCGGAUAACAACAGAUGAUGCCUAUCAACUGUUUAAAAGAUGGUUCUGCUAUCACUCUUGGAUGGACCUGCGGUGCAUUAGCUAGUUGGUAGGGUAACGGCCUACCAAGGCGAUGAUGCAUAGCCGAGUUGAGAGACUGAUCGGCCACAUUGGGACUGAGACACGGCCCAAACUCCUACGGGAGGCAGCAGUAGGGAAUCUUCCACAAUGGACGCAAGUCUGAUGGAGCAACGCCGCGUGAGUGAAGAAGGGUUUCGGCUCGUAAAGCUCUGUUGUUGGUGAAGAAGGACAGGGGUAGUAACUGACCUUUGUUUGACGGUAAUCAAUUAGAAAGUCACGGCUAACUACGUGCCAGCAGCCGCGGUAAUACGUAGGUGGCAAGCGUUGUCCGGAUUUAUUGGGCGUAAAGCGAGUGCAGGCGGCUCGAUAAGUCUGAUGUGAAAGCCUUCGGCUCAACCGGAGAAUUGCAUCAGAAACUGUCGAGCUUGAGUACAGAAGAGGAGAGUGGAACUCCAUGUGUAGCGGUGAAAUGCGUAGAUAUAUGGAAGAACACCGGUGGCGAGGGCGGCUCUCUGGUCUGUUACUGACGCUGAGGCUCGAAAGCAUGGGUAGCGAACAGGAUUAGAUACCCUGGUAGUCCAUGCCGUAAACGAUGAGUGCUAAGUGUUGGGAGGUUUCCGCCUCUCAGUGCUGCAGCUAACGCAUUAAGCACUCCG
RNAcentral lists this ribosomal RNA (853 nucleotides) under uncultured bacterium. RNAcentral's name for it is "bacterial SSU rRNA". It matches the Rfam family "Bacterial small subunit ribosomal RNA", at positions 57 to 871 of the family's 1533-position model. The record is from RNAcentral.